This 266-nucleotide long non-coding RNA is filed under the name Rosa chinensis. RNAcentral's name for it is "sRNA RchiOBHm_Chr4g0386581". The record is from RNAcentral. Lineage: Eukaryota; Viridiplantae; Streptophyta; Magnoliopsida; Rosales; Rosaceae.
UUGGUAGUCUGUUAACUUUGAUAUCUCCUGAGAAUUCUUUGAGUAGGUGUUGUAUAUUUUAGAACAUCAUCCAGAUGGAUUUGUAAAGGUUAGGUAUUGAUAUCUCUCCUUGCAAUUCUCUGUUUUACCCCCAUUGGCCAGACAGUCAAACCUCUGCUUGUGUCCUCAUGUCUUCCAACAUGAGAAUCUUGGUUACUGGAGGAGCUGGAUUCAUUGGUUCUCACUUGAUUGACAGAUUAAUGGAAAAUGAAAAGAAUGAGUAUUAG